Molecule: ribosomal RNA, 881 nt
Filed under: uncultured archaeon
Lineage: Archaea
Description: bacterial SSU rRNA
Rfam family: Archaeal small subunit ribosomal RNA
Source: RNAcentral
GCCGGACCUGACUGCUAUCGGAUUGAUACUAAGCCAUGCGAGUCUUUGUAGUAAUACAAGGCAGACGGCUCAGUAACACGUAGUCAAUCUACCCUAUGGACGGGGAUAACCUCGGGAAACUGAGAAUAAUACCCGACAGAUCAUUAUACCUGGAAUGGUUUAUGGUUCAAAUGAUUUUUCGCCGUAGGAUGGGACUGCGGUCUAUCAGCUUGUUGGUGAGGUAAUGGCCUACCAAGGCUAUAACAGAUACGGGCUCUGAGAGGAGAAGCCCGGAGAUGGGUACUGAGACACGGACCCAGGCCCUAUGGGGCGCAGCAGGCGAGAAAACUUUGCAAUGUGCGAAAGCACGACAAGGUUAAUCCGAGUGUUUUCUGCUAAAGAAAUCUUUUGUUAGUUUUAAAAUCACUAUCGAAUAAGGGGUGGGCAAGUUCUGGUGUCAGCCGCCGCGGUAAAACCAGCACCUCAAGUGGUCAGGAGGAUUAUUGGGCCUAAAGCAUCCGUAGCCGGCUACGUUAGUUUUCGGUUAAAUCCAUGUGCUCAACACAUGGGCUGUCGAGAAUACUGCAUAGCUAGGGAGUGGGAGAGGUAGACGGUACUCGGUAGGAAGGGGUAAAAUCCUUUGAUCUAUUGAUGACCACCAGUGGCGAAGGCGGUCUACCAGAACACGUCCGACGGUGAGGGAUGAAAGCUGGGGGAGCAAACCGGAUUAGAUACCCGGGUAGUCCCAGCUGUAAACCAUGCAAACUCAGUGAUGCAUUGGCUUGUGGCCAGUGCAGUGCCGCAGAGAAGUCGUUAAGUUUGCCGCCUGGGAAGUACGUACGCAAGUAUGAAACUUAAAGGAAUUGGCGGGGGAGCACCACAAGGGGUGAAGCCUGCGGUUC